GACGAACGCUGGCGGCGUGCUUAACACAUGCAAGUCGAACUGAAAGGCCCUGCUUUUGUGGGGUGCUCGAGUGGCGAACGGGUGAGUAACACGUGAGUAACCUGCCCUUGACUUUGGGAUAACUUCAGGAAACUGGGGCUAAUACCGGAUAGGAGCUCCUGCUGCAUGGUGGGGGUUGGAAAGUUUCGGCGGUUGGGGAUGGACUCGCGGCUUAUCAGCUUGUUGGUGGGGUAGUGGCUUACCAAGGCUUUGACGGGUAGCCGGCCUGAGAGGGUGACCGGCUACACUGGGACUCAGAUACGGCCCAGACUCCUACGGGAGGGAGAAGUGGGGAAUAUUGCACAAUGGGCGGAAGCGUGAUGCAGCAACGCCGCGUGCGGGAUGACGGCCUUCGGGUUGUAACCCGCUUUCGCCUGUGACGAAGCGUGAGGGACGGUAAUGGGUAAAGAAGCACCGGCUAACUACGUG
RNAcentral lists this ribosomal RNA (468 nucleotides) under uncultured bacterium. RNAcentral's name for it is "partial 16S ribosomal RNA". It matches the Rfam family "Bacterial small subunit ribosomal RNA", at positions 28 to 507 of the family's 1533-position model. The record is from RNAcentral.